CCUACGGGGGGCAGCAGUGGGGAAUAUUGGACAAUGGGCGAAAGCCUGAUCCAGCCAUGCCGCGUGUGUGAAGAAGGCCUUCGGGUUGUAAAGCACUUUCAGUGGGGAAGAAAGCCUUGGGGCUAAUACCCUCGAGGAAGGACAUCACCCACAGAAGAAGCACCGGCUAACUCCGUGCCAGCAGCCGCGGUAAUACGGAGGGGUGCGAGCGUUAAUCGGAAUUACUGGGCGUAAAGCGCGCGUAGGCGGUCUGAUAAGCCGGUUGUGAAAGCCCCGGGCUCAACCUGGGAACGGCAUCCGGAACUGUCAGGCUAGAGUGCAGGAGAGGAAGGUAGAAGUCCCGGUGUAGCGGUGAAAUGCGUAGAGAUCGGGAGGAAUACCAGUGGCGAAGGCGGCCUUCUGGACUGACACUGACGCUGAGGUGCGAAAGCGUGGGUAGCAAACAGGAUUAGAUACCCGGUAGUC
This 465-nucleotide ribosomal RNA is filed under the name Vreelandella stevensii. Its description in RNAcentral is "partial 16S ribosomal RNA". It matches the Rfam family "Bacterial small subunit ribosomal RNA", at positions 338 to 795 of the family's 1533-position model. The record is from RNAcentral. Lineage: Bacteria; Pseudomonadati; Pseudomonadota; Gammaproteobacteria; Oceanospirillales; Halomonadaceae.